AUUGCGGUAGCUCAGUUGGUGGAGUACCUGCCCAACAAGCGGGAGGCCACCGGUCCGAUACCGGUUCGCAGUA
Molecule: transfer RNA, 73 nt
Filed under: Fasciola hepatica (liver fluke)
Lineage: Eukaryota; Metazoa; Platyhelminthes; Trematoda; Plagiorchiida; Fasciolidae
Description: tRNA-Val
Source: RNAcentral